This 4524-nucleotide long non-coding RNA is filed under the name Bos grunniens (domestic yak). RNAcentral's name for it is "lncRNA (ENSBGRG00000004740.1)". Lineage: Eukaryota; Metazoa; Chordata; Mammalia; Artiodactyla; Bovidae. The record is from RNAcentral.
AUGCAAGAGAAGAGAGCCAACGGUGGACUCUACGCCAUAGUCAGUGCCCCUUCUGCUGUCACUCAACUCCAGUGUAUGAAUCAGGAGACUGAGAUCACGGUCCCUUGGCCAGCACAUGGGGGAGCUGAAAGGUGUGGUUUUCUCCGAUGCUCUAUUGCUCUGACAGGAAAUGAAUAUUACAAAAGUCAAGAUGGAAUAUUACAAAGGUCAAGAGGAAAGGACAAGAAGAGAACGGACAGUCUACCUUCUGGGGACCUGAUAGUGUUCUAUGUCUUGACCGGGACAGUGGUUAUUCAGGUGGGAUUCUUGUUUCUCUGGAGUCAUCUGUGAGUGUUACUGAUCCCCACUCUGAAUCCCAAGCCAGUAGAGAAGCAUGAGUUUUCAGGAGGGUUUAUUCAUAUCCCGUCUAUAUAUUUUUGAUGGAAACCUGAUAUCUUGAUUCCAGAGCCAAGUGUCUUGUGAUCUGCCAUCAUCCAAAUGUGUUUUUAAGACCUCAUCUCAAUGGUGUUUUCUUCUGCUGCAAAUAGGGUGUUGUUGGUUUCUUUUCUGUUGUGGAAAAUGUCUUGUAUGCCAGUUUUCAAAAAUAAAAAUUCUAAAACUGUCCAUGGAACAUUCUAGGAGGACUCUCAAGAGUGGAGAAGUUCUUGUACAAGUAGUGUUUGUGUUAGCAUCUGGCCUGUGUUUAAAUGAUCACAUUAGGAAAGCAGCCUGUGGGAUUUCAGCUUAAUUACCUAUAACAUACACUAUUCAUGCAAAGAGGAAUGGGGGGAAGUGAGGGAAACUAAUAUUAAAAAUGAAUGCAAUGUAAUGUAUUGCUCCCCAUCCCCCAACCUUUUGGUACAAAGACAAGUAAAGCAAAGAGGUGCAAAUAUAUAAUUAUAUAUAAUUUAUCACUAUUUCUCAUCUGACCAUUUAAAAAUUUAUUCAAUACAUGUUGAUCGUCAAUGUGGUCAGUGUAUCUUAUUUAUGUUUCAUCAGGAAAACUAAAGGAGAAUCUUGUAUAUUUUCUCUUUGCAUUUAAAGACAUUUGUUCACUUUAAUAUUUAAAGAGUACAUAUGAAACAACAAAAUCCUUUUCUUCAUGUUUGAUGAUCAUCCAAAUCUUGAUAAAUAAUAAGCUUCCAAGAACUGUUGUGAGAUUUAUUUUAUUCUCCUUGGGCCUGGAAUCUACAUGAGAGAAAAAAAGGCUCAAAGCCAUGGGACAGGACUGAGACUGCCCUCUCUCCUGUCACCUGCACUCCCAUCUUCCUGCUGACUCUCUGGUUCACUGAUUCCCUAAGCACUCCUGGCCACUCCUGCCCUUCUCCUCAACCCAGGUGCUGUAAGCCCCAUCACCCCACCCUCGCACCAUGUAGUUCAUUUCUGUGCUCUCCUCCUUUGCUUUCUCUUUAACACUCAUGCCUCCUGCCUUUCCUGAGCCAUCCCAUAACUUAGGGCUGACUUUGGAAGGUGCUUGAGUCUCUAAAUACUCAGCAGACCCUACUUAUCCUUCCUUGUCAGUUCAAAUGGGUCCAGCCUACCCAGAGAGAUAUACCAUGUUAGCAGGUAACAGGGUGAGUAAAAUAUAGUUCUUGACCUAUGGAGCUUACAGUCUAAUGAGGGAGUUAGAAAUACACACACCCAACCAGAGUUCAAAGUAAUAAUGCAUAUAAUAAUAAGUUCAGAAAUGGGAAUCUUUUUAAAAGAGAAGCAUCCAAGGAAGAGUUCAAUUCUGACCAAGGAUGGAUGAGACUGGAAGGCUUUGUGGAGAAAGUGGCAUUAAGGAUGGGCCUCCACUAGAGGAGGGAGAGUGAGGAGGCCUCCAGCUAAUCAGAACAGUGCAGGGUGUUAGAGAUGUACCCAUCACCCAAGGCAGAGGGAGGGCAGUGGGAGAGUCAGAUUGCUGAGGGGAAGGACACAAUAGGAGAAGGAAAAAGUGAAAGGCAGCAUCUAGGAGACUGCUGAUGGUUAAGAAAGGCCAGUGAGGGGGCUUAGAGAAAACCAUCAGCGACUGAAGGAGAAUCAAGAGCUCAGUGGCCGGGAAGCUAAGGGAUGAAAGAAUUUCUAAAAGAAGGGAUGGCUAAUAAUAGUCAUGAGGAGAAUAACAACUAACAUUUGUGGACUCUUUACCAUGCGCCAGGAAUUGUAUGAAAACUCAAGUUAGGACUUGUAUCCAGGUCCAACUGAUGCCAAUACUCUUAACUCUACAAAUGCUGAAUCGAAUGGAGAUAUAAAGCACGCCGUUGACUGUGGUGAUGGGGAAACUGCAGUAGAACAGUUGGGACAGGUUGCAAUCGAAGAAAGUAAAGGUGUCAGAUUUAGCAUUUCUUCUCAAAAGUUUGGCAGUAAAACUUUAGAAAUGGGGCAGUAACUUAAGAAAAUGGGAAGGAUUUUUUUUUUUUCUUUUAAUGGGAGCUAUUUAGAAAUUACCUUGAAUAUGAGCUUGAAAAUGUGAGAGGAGAUUCCCAGGGAGAUGGGAGGAAGUGGGAUCAAGGACACAUGGAAAAAGAUUAUUGUGGAAAGAUUGCUUCCUGCCUCUGAGAUAAGAGAAGGGAGGACAGGGUGAGCAUUGAGCAGAUCUGCUGCCCGGAGUGGGGCAACUGAGGAAGUUGGCUGAGAACGGCCUCCAUCUUACUACAGCGGUGCUGAUGAAAUGAGCCGGGAACUCUGCAAAUAGAAAAUAGCUUGGCCACUGUAGAUCAUGUGCUCGAAAAAGAUGAUCUGUAAAAAGUCACAAAUGUCCCCUUGGAAUGCCUAAGGAGUAUAUUUGGGACAGAGAAUGCAUAGCAGGCAAACACCACCACCAUGGGGUUAGAUGGAAAAUGUUUUUGAAAGUAAGGAAUCCCAAAGACAAAAAAAAAAAAAAUCAGAUUCACAUUCCAUUUGAGUGCCUAGACUUCUUCCCUUACUGGCUUUUUUGGCUAUGCAAACAAUAACCGAGUGGUUUGGGCAUCUGUAUACCAGAGGAUGAAUGGCAAAUGAAAAGUUACCUUGGCAGAAGACAAGGUUCUAAAUGCCAGUGUUGUAAUAAAAGGUCCUUUGUAGCAUAAGCUGCACAGUACGAAGGUUUGAAGUGGGAGUUUCUGAAUUGCCUGGGGAUCCAGCGAGGGACAGAGGAGAAUCCUUUCUCAUUGUCCUGACACAGCACUUGCCUUCCUAAUUGACUGUGGAGUGAAGUAGAGUGAGAAGAGUGUGACCCCGAGCCCCGAGAGACCAGGAUUAAAGUCUGAGUCCUCUCCUUACCAGUGCCUGGCUUUGGGCAAGUUACUUACUGUCUCUGAAUCCCAUCUAUACACUGGAGAUAACAACACCUGCCAUACAGAGCUGUCAGGAUGGGGUAAGGUCACCCAUCCGUUUUCUGCUCCUUUUCGCACCUGCCUGGAAAAUCUCAGAUUCUAAGUAAUGGAAAAGGAUAUAUUGAUUACAUCCAUCAGAGUUCUAUCAGGCCCCCUCUCAGAGAUUUAAGCAUCUCUUUUUUUAAUGGUAGAAAAUAUUUUUGUUAAGCAGAGGAAGAAAUGAUCAGGGCCAAGUCCAUUGAAAACCUGGGGAUUCCGUGGAGAUGCAGGCACCUGCCUGGGAUUCCCCUGGGAUUUCUUUUUGGUCUGCUAAUUACCAUGGCCAUCUCCAGAGCAUGUUCUCCUGAACAUCUGAAAGGAGAUUGGACAGAGAGGGGGAGCCUCUUGGAGAAGAGAAAAGGCAGGCACUCAUGAAAUCAAGGUUUCGUGUCUCUUCCCCCAGGGAGUGACAGAAUCGGGUGUGUGAGGCUUCCAUGGAACCAUCUGAGCCACUUGUCAUGAAUUUGUUUCCAGAAAGACAGGCCUAGUCUUAACAUAGGAGAGCCUCUUCUUCGGAGUGUGAAAAGUUUGGCAUAAACUAAGAAGAGAAGCACAACCUUUGUCAGAUUUCCCAGCCACAAAAUUCUCAACAUUGACAUUCCUGAGCUUUAUAGAAAUGUUGAGAAGUAACCUUUUUGCUAGAAGCACACACUACUUCAGCAGGAAAAUGGAAAGGAUCAGAGGAGACCUAUCCCAAGGCACUACCUUACAUCUGCCAACCCACCUGCCUUCCCUCCUGAGGCUGUGACAACGUGACUUUGCGCCUGCCUGUGGCCUGUGUCUCCACCAGGGCACUACAUCAUCCCUUCAGCCCCGUCUAAGGAUGUCUUCUCCAGCAAUUCCCCCAUCCCCUACACCUUCAAAUCUCCCCUCUCAACAGAAUCAUUCCCUCCAGUACACAAACAUGUUGUUAUGCUGAGCAACUUAAAAAUAAUCCACUUCCUCUUCUGGUUAUACUCUAUUUUUCUCUUUCCCUUUAGAGAAAAACCUCAGGGAAAUAGGCAUCUGCUGUUGCAACCUCCAGUUGCUUCUCUCUCCCUCUCUUCUGAACUCACUCAAGGCAUUAUUUGAGCCCCACUCCUCCCCUGACUUUGCUCAAGGCCACCAUUGAGCUACAAGCUGGCAAACUCUAAUGUUACCUCUUAGAUCUCAGCUUGAUUGACCUACAAGCAGCCUUUGACCAAGUCAGUCCCCCUUUCCUCCUGGAGAC